GAUGAACGCUGGCGGCGUGCCUAAUACAUGCAGGUCGAGCGAACGGACGAGAAGCUUGCCUCUCUGAUGUUAGCGGCGGACGGGUGAGUAACACGUGGAUAACCUACCUAUAAGACUGGGAUAACUUCGGGAAACCGUAGCUAAUACCGGAUAAUAUUUUGAACCGCAUGGUUCAAAAGUGAAAGACGGUCUUGCUGUCACUUAUAGAUGGAUCCGCGCUGCAUUAGCUAGUUGGUAAGGUAACGGCUUACCAAGGCAACGAUGCAUAGCCGACCUGAGAGGGUGAUCGGCCACACUGGAACUGAGACACGGUCCAGACUCCUACGGGAGGCAGCAGUAGGGAAUCUUCCGCAAUGGGCGAAAGCCUGACGGAGCAACGCCGCGUGAGUGAUGAAGGUCUUCGGAUCGUAAAACUCUGUUAUUAGGGAAGAACAUAUGUGUAAGUAACUGUGCACAUCUUGACGGUACCUAAUCAGAAAGCCACGGCUAACUACGUG
RNAcentral lists this ribosomal RNA (497 nucleotides) under uncultured bacterium. Its description in RNAcentral is "partial 16S ribosomal RNA". It matches the Rfam family "Bacterial small subunit ribosomal RNA", at positions 28 to 507 of the family's 1533-position model. The record is from RNAcentral.